GUAUUUGUGAGGGCGAUCUGGCUGCGACAUCUGUCACCCCAUUGAUCACCAGGGUUGAUUUGGGUGAUCUGGCUGGCUAGGCGGGUGUCCUCUUCCUCCCUCACUUCUUCAUGUGAGUGCCUCUCGAAGCUUCCUGCUUGAUCGAAGAGUACGACCUUCCCCAUAGAGGCGUACCAUUCUUUGGUCAAGGGUAUAUGAGUAGCUGCGCUCCCCUGCUAGAACAAGCUCCCAAGGUCCAGAAGAUUAAAUCUAGCUUAGCUUCCAGCUUCUAGGCCUCCUCCUAGAUGAGGGGCCUCCUUG
This 300-nucleotide small nuclear RNA is filed under the name Monodelphis domestica (gray short-tailed opossum). RNAcentral describes it as "7SK RNA". It matches the Rfam family "7SK RNA". Rfam says of the family: 7SK was discovered as an abundant small nuclear RNA in the mid-70s but a possible function has only recently been suggested. The record is from Rfam by way of RNAcentral. Lineage: Eukaryota; Metazoa; Chordata; Mammalia; Didelphimorphia; Didelphidae.